AGAGUUUGAUCCUGGCUCAGGACGAACGCUGGCGGCGUGCCUAAUACAUGCAAGUCGAACGAGAGCGACCGGUGCUUGCUCUGGGCAAUCUAGUGGCGAACGGGUGAGUAACACGUGGGUAACCUGCCCAUCAGAGGGGGAUAACAUUCGGAAACGGAUGCUAAAACCGCAUAGGUUCUUUAGUCGCAUGACUGAAGAAGGAAAAGAGGCUUCGGCUUCUGCUGAUGGAUGGACCCGCGGUGCAUUAGCUAGUUGGUGAGGUAACGGCUCACCAAGGCCGUGAUGCAUAACCGACCUGAGAGGGUGAUCGGCCACAUUGGGACUGACACACGGCCCAAACUCCUGCGGGAGGCAGCAGUAGGGAAUCUUCCGCAAUGGACGCAAGUCUGACGGACCAACGCCGCGUGAGUGAAGAAGGAUUUCGGUUCGUAAAACUCUGUUGUUAGAAAAGAACAGCGCAUAGAGUAACUGUUAUGCGUGUGACGGCAUCUAACCAGAAAGCCACGGCUAACUACGUGCCAGCAGCCGCGGUAAUACGUACGUGGCAAGCGUUGUCCGGAUUUAUUGGGCGUAAAGCGAGCGCAGGCGGUCAAUUAAGUCUGAUGUGAAAGCCCCCGGCUCAACCGGGGAGGGUCAUUGGAGACUGGUUGACUUGAGUGCAGAAAAAGAGAGUGUAAUUCCAUGUGUAGCGGUGAAAUGCAUAUAUAUAUGGAGGCACACCAGUGGCGAAGGUCACUCUCUGGUCUGUAACUGACGCUGACGCUCGAAAGCGUGGGUAGCAAACAGGAUUACAUACCCUGUCAGUCCACGCCAUAAACGAUGAGUGCUAAGUGUUGCAUUGCUUCCGCCCUUCACUGCUGCAGUUAACGCAUUAAGCACUCUGCCUGGGGAGUACGACCGCAAGAUGAAACUCGAAGUAAUUGACGGGCACCCGCACAAGCGAUGAGCAUGUUGAUUAAUACGAAGCCACCACGAACAUACCUACCAAGUGCAUGACCUCCUGUGGCCCACCUCUAGAGA
This 1020-nucleotide ribosomal RNA is filed under the name uncultured bacterium. Its description in RNAcentral is "bacterial SSU rRNA". It matches the Rfam family "Bacterial small subunit ribosomal RNA", at positions 8 to 1008 of the family's 1533-position model. The record is from RNAcentral.